Molecule: ribosomal RNA, 2929 nt
Filed under: Bacillus sp. DU-106
Lineage: Bacteria; Bacillati; Bacillota; Bacilli; Caryophanales; Bacillaceae
Description: 23S ribosomal RNA
Rfam family: Bacterial large subunit ribosomal RNA
Source: RNAcentral
UUUGGUUAAGUUAGAAAGGGCGCACGGUGGAUGCCUUGACACUAGGAGUCGAUGAAGGACGGGACUAACGCCGAUAUGCUUCGGGGAGCUGUAAGUAAGCUUUGAUCCGAAGAUUUCCGAAUGGGGAAACCCACCAUACGUAAUGGUAUGGUAUCCUUAUCUGAAUACAUAGGGUAAGGAAGACAGACCCAGGGAACUGAAACAUCUAAGUACCUGGAGGAAGAGAAAGCAAAUGCGAUUUCCUGAGUAGCGGCGAGCGAAACGGAACAUAGCCCAAACCAAGAGGCUUGCCUCUUGGGGUUGUAGGACAUUCUAUACGGAGUUACAAAGGAACGAGGUAGACGAAGCGACCUGGAAAGGUCCGUCGUAGAGGGUAACAACCCCGUAGUCGAAACUUCGUUCUCUCUUGAAUGUAUCCUGAGUACGGCGGAACACGUGAAAUUCCGUCGGAAUCUGGGAGGACCAUCUCCCAAGGCUAAAUACUCCCUAGUGAUCGAUAGUGAACCAGUACCGUGAGGGAAAGGUGAAAAGCACCCCGGAAGGGGAGUGAAAGAGAUCCUGAAACCGUGUGCCUACAAAUAGUCAGAGCCCGUUAACGGGUGAUGGCGUGCCUUUUGUAGAAUGAACCGGCGAGUUACGAUCCCGUGCGAGGUUAAGCUGAAGAGGCGGAGCCGCAGCGAAAGCGAGUCUGAAUAGGGCGUUUAGUACGUGGUCGUAGACCCGAAACCAGGUGAUCUACCCAUGUCCAGGGUGAAGUUCAGGUAACACUGAAUGGAGGCCCGAACCCACGCACGUUGAAAAGUGCGGGGAUGAGGUGUGGGUAGCGGAGAAAUUCCAAUCGAACCUGGAGAUAGCUGGUUCUCCCCGAAAUAGCUUUAGGGCUAGCCUUAAGUGUAAGAGUCUUGGAGGUAGAGCACUGAUUGGACUAGGGGUCCUCAUCGGAUUACCGAAUUCAGUCAAACUCCGAAUGCCAAUGACUUAUCCUUAGGAGUCAGACUGCGAGUGAUAAGAUCCGUAGUCAAAAGGGAAACAGCCCAGACCGCCAGCUAAGGUCCCAAAGUGUGUAUUAAGUGGAAAAGGAUGUGGAGUUGCUUAGACAACUAGGAUGUUGGCUUAGAAGCAGCCACCAUUUAAAGAGUGCGUAAUAGCUCACUAGUCGAGUGACUCUGCGCCGAAAAUGUACCGGGGCUAAAUACACCACCGAAGCUGCGGAUUGAUACCAAUGGUAUCAGUGGUAGGGGAGCGUUCUAAGGACAGUGAAGUCAGACCGGAAGGACUGGUGGAGUGCUUAGAAGUGAGAAUGCCGGUAUGAGUAGCGAAAGACGGGUGAGAAUCCCGUCCACCGAAUGCCUAAGGUUUCCUGAGGAAGGCUCGUCCGCUCAGGGUUAGUCAGGACCUAAGCCGAGGCCGACAGGCGUAGGCGAUGGACAACAGGUUGAUAUUCCUGUACCACCUCUUUAUCGUUUGAGCAAUGGAGGGACGCAGAAGGAUAGAAGAAGCGUGCGAUUGGUUGUGCACGUCCAAGCAGUUAGGCUGAUAAGUAGGCAAAUCCGCUUAUCGUGAAGGCUGAGCUGUGAUGGGGAAGUUCCUUAUGGAGCGAAGUCUUUGAUUCCCCGCUGCCAAGAAAAGCUUCUAGCGAGAUAAAAGGUGCCUGUACCGCAAACCGACACAGGUAGGCGAGGAGAGAAUCCUAAGGUGUGCGAGAGAACUCUGGUUAAGGAACUCGGCAAAAUGACCCCGUAACUUCGGGAGAAGGGGUGCUUUCUUAACGGAAAGCCGCAGUGAAUAGGCCCAAGCGACUGUUUAGCAAAAACACAGCUCUCUGCGAAGCCGUAAGGCGAAGUAUAGGGGGUGACACCUGCCCGGUGCUGGAAGGUUAAGGAGAGGGGUUAGCGUAAGCGAAGCUCUGAACUGAAGCCCCAGUAAACGGCGGCCGUAACUAUAACGGUCCUAAGGUAGCGAAAUUCCUUGUCGGGUAAGUUCCGACCCGCACGAAAGGUGUAACGAUUUGGGCACUGUCUCAACCAGAGACUCGGUGAAAUUAUAGUACCUGUGAAGAUGCAGGUUACCCGCGACAGGACGGAAAGACCCCGUGGAGCUUUACUGUAGCCUGAUAUUGAAUUUUGGUACAGUUUGUACAGGAUAGGCGGGAGCCAUUGAAACCGGAGCGCUAGCUUCGGUGGAGGCGCUGGUGGGAUACCGCCCUGACUGUAUUGAAAUUCUAACCUACGGGUCUUAUCGACCCGGGAGACAGUGUCAGGUGGGCAGUUUGACUGGGGCGGUCGCCUCCUAAAGUGUAACGGAGGCGCCCAAAGGUUCCCUCAGAAUGGUUGGAAAUCAUUCGUAGAGUGCAAAGGCAUAAGGGAGCUUGACUGCGAGACCUACAAGUCGAGCAGGGACGAAAGUCGGGCUUAGUGAUCCGGUGGUUCCGCAUGGAAGGGCCAUCGCUCAACGGAUAAAAGCUACCCCGGGGAUAACAGGCUUAUCUCCCCCAAGAGUCCACAUCGACGGGGAGGUUUGGCACCUCGAUGUCGGCUCAUCGCAUCCUGGGGCUGUAGUCGGUCCCAAGGGUUGGGCUGUUCGCCCAUUAAAGCGGUACGCGAGCUGGGUUCAGAACGUCGUGAGACAGUUCGGUCCCUAUCCGUCGUGGGCGUAGGAAAUUUGAGAGGAGCUGUCCUUAGUACGAGAGGACCGGGAUGGACGCACCGCUGGUGUACCAGUUGUUCUGCCAAGGGCAUAGCUGGGUAGCUAUGUGCGGAAGGGAUAAGUGCUGAAAGCAUCUAAGCAUGAAGCCCCCCUCAAGAUGAGAUUUCCCAUAGCGUAAGCUAGUAAGAUCCCUGAAAGAUGAUCAGGUUGAUAGGUUCGAGGUGGAAGCAUGGUGACAUGUGGAGCUGACGAAUACUAAUAGAUCGAGGACUUAACCAUAUAA